Long non-coding RNA from Esox lucius (northern pike), 3109 nucleotides. Lineage: Eukaryota; Metazoa; Chordata; Actinopteri; Esociformes; Esocidae. The record is from Ensembl.
GAAGUAGCUAGCUAAAGUUGGAAUUCCACAUCGUUGUCGCUGUUGUGGACGUAAUAAAAAGAACAGAUUAUUAAGGUAUCAAAUAUGACAAGAGUUAGGCGAAAUAUACGACGCACAUUUGAGAAUUUAAGAUCAAUCGCGAUAUGAACGUGGACAGCAUUCUGUGACUUGCCGAUAUAAGGUACACUAGCUAAUGCGCUCUCGCUAGCUGUAGUCUAGAGCUAGGCUAAUGAGUCCGACGUAGUGACUAGGUUUUGGGGAUGGGUAGCUUUUUGAUGCUUUUAAGAAACAUAUUAAAGGUUAGCCAUCUCGUUCGAUGUAGUUACGUAACGUUAUAUCGUUAACAAAAAAAUAUGAUUGUUUGUUGAUAUUGAGCUGAAGUUUGCAAACCGGGGUAUGCUUUUUAGAACCACCAUACUAGAAAAAUGGCUUGAGGUAGUUAUAUUGACUGUAGCUAACGUUAGCUUUUGGUCCAAGAAACAAAGACAGCCUUGGAAAAAUGUCUAACUAGAUAGGAGACGGUAGUACACAGACGUUAGACACCAAACAAAACGAUCUAAAACCGGGGGAGCUGAGCGACUUAGUCUUGUCCAGAAAAUGUUCGUUUUUCUUUUCAAUUGUACAGUACUGUCAAAUAUUUUGAUAUUUUUUUAACAGUGAGUGUGUGGGUUAAUACGGUUCUGUGGCCAUAGUUAAGAAACGAUGGAUAUAUAACUACUGUACACACCACAAAUAUGUGUGUGCCAUGUUUUCACUUAAACUUUGCAUAUAUGUAACAUAUCUUUAUUAUAAUACUUGGCUUGAGAAUGUGCUCAACUACCCGCCAUUUUUUACCAUGCGUACACAUUUGCUAGUGUGGUUGAAAUAUUGUAUUGCACGCUAGAAUGUAAUAGCUUAGAUGGUUAUGGGGGUUGUGAUGAAGUUUAAAAAAUAUAUAUAUAGAGAGAGAGAGAUUUUGAUUUGUUCAUACUCCCUUCGUAACCAUAGGUCGUUUUCAUCCACAUCUUCUUUGAUUAGACCUUUGAACAGUUGGAAUUCUGACAUUUAUCUAUACUCAUGUUGAACCUCAUUCUCACUUUUUAUCAAAUCUGGAGCACAGCUACUAGCAUUUUCCUCAAUAGAAUCUUAGUUCAUAUAGUAAGCCAAGAAAGUAUUGUGGAAUACAUAGCCAUGGUGGCCUUGAUUUACUAUGUAUGCUCUGAGUUUAUUUAGCAUAAAAUAUUCCCUAUAAGUGUUUUGUUAAGUGUAUUCUAUGGAGGACAAUGUUUGUAAGGGACUUAUACUCUUCAGAAAGACCCUAUUCUACAUGAAUGAUUGCAUCAAGUACAAGUCAAGAUGCCAAAACGCUAUAUCAACUGGGAGCUUGGUGAUGGUGGACCCCCUUUUUGCUUCAGUUGUGAAAUGAUCUUUCCAGACCAUGUGUCAUUUCAUGACCACUCAUGUCCUGUGGCGGGUUACAUCUGCUCCUGUGGAACAGAGUUCUCCAAGUAUGUGGAUAUGGUGGACCACAGUGGUUUACAUGAACCAGGCCAUACUGUCAUGAAUUAUAGCACCAUAAAAAAGCAACAAUAUCAGAGAGAGAGAGAACACAAGGAGCAGCUUGCCAGGCUGGAAUUGACAACGGGUCAAGGAAGUGGGGCUGUUCCGGGAUCGUCUCUGAUGCUUUUGGACCCUAUGACACAGGCCAACAAGCCUCCUUGCGGUGCAGGUGCUGCAACGAAAGAUCUCUGGCACCAGUUUCAGCCAGUGGUGUUGAUUGAGACACUGCGAAAGUUUGGUAGGACAAAGCCCUACAGGUGUGCAUACUGCGAACUGGGCUUUGCAACAAAAGACUUUCUCAUAUGGCAUCACAACACUCAUAUAAGGAAUAAAGUCCAUGGCUGCCUGCAGUGCGGUGUGCUCCUACUCAGCAACAAUAAGUCACCCCGGCCUAACCAUCAUCAGUGCAGCUCUCAACAGGCACCUCCUGAAACCAGAUUCACCACUGCCACAGUGCUGAGCAACAGGAAGCAGCCUGCCGGGUAUGGUAAGAAGGUCGUCCAGAAUCAACCCUGUCCUGACCUGUUCAGUAGUGAGCUCCAGCUAGGGAUGCAUAUGGUGUCACAGCAGCCUGGAUGGGAUAACGCUGUCACUGGCAGUUCUGGAAGAAAAGACUUGAUAUGUAGAGUGUGUCAGCAGACCUUCCAAACUGUUAAGUUACUCGAGAGACACCGUUGCACAAAGGCGGCAUCCUUUUUUGCACAGAAACUGUGUCUAACAUCUAGCAAACAGCUCAAUGGUCAUAGAAAGUGGGAGGGUACAAACCCGUACUCCUUGUCUCAAAGAAAUGGUGACAAGGAGCUGGCCUUCAACAUUCAAACUUCCAGAAAAGUGACUGUAUACCACAAGUCAGUUGGUCCACAUAGGGGUACAGGGUCGCCUGCCGUCUCUGCAAAGACUGCGCACGAUUCUGAUGAUGACUGUUUCGUGAUUGAAAGCUCAUCUACCAAACCUAGUCAACAGGUCUACCAAGAAUUAACUUCUUCCCUUCCAGUACUUCAGACAUGAACAGUGGAUGGGGACUCCCUAUGUGAAUCGCUGUAUUUGCAACAGACAUGAGCCACUUGUAGGUGUCAUGAUUAUGUCUAAGUAUGGUAUUUUGUAAGGUAGCAGUUUAGCUGUUAACUUUCUAUUAAUCUUAAAACUGUCAGUGGCCUGUUAUAUGUGUAUUUGUGUUUGUCACCUGACAUUGAAAACUUGGCAUAUGCAGUAUCUAAACAGGCUGCAUGUUUAAGACACGUUUUUGUUAUCCUUUUUAUUUUUUUACACAUUUGCUUGGUUUAAAGUGUGGUAUAAGCAGCUUUGGCCUGUAAAACAAGAACAUCUUUCAGCUGGUCAUUUCUGUGAUCAAAAUAAAUGUUUUUUCCUCUCUUGUCAUGAUUACAGUUUGAUGUGCUGUACUUACUGAUUGCUGACUUAGGCAAUUUAUCACUGAAAUAUUAUUUGUUAAGAUAUGUUAUCAAAGAUAUCUCCAGGAAUUUUUGUAAUCCCUGCCCAGAUAAGAUGAGUUUUGGAAAAACAGGAUAUUGUUUUGUUAAAACCUAUUAAUAGCUUUAUUUUUUUAACAUGG